UUUCUUUUUGUCCCCGAGACAGGGUUUCUCCAUGUAGUCCUGGCUGUCCUGGAACUCACUCUGUAGACCAGGCUGAACUCAAACUCAAGAGAUUCACCUUCUUCUGCCUCCAGAGUGCUGGGAUUAAAGGUGAAGGCUACCAUGCCUAGUUUUACUUCAGCUUCUUAAACUCUCCAUCACAUUUUGUUCAGCAAAGGACUGUGCGCUAUUCCCACUACUAAGCAGCAAGUGAAGGGACAGCUGGGGGGACUGGGCAGUGCACAAGAGACAGGAACUAUCGCAAGCCUUCCAAGGCACUCACCUGCUACAGAAGGCCGCAAUGGGGUCCACGCUGGUGACAUCUACUUCCUCAUCCUCAGCAGCAUCAGCCCCUGUAGGACGGAACAUUGGAGAGGUUUGAAGAAAUGGAAAACUGCUUUUUGCCUCAGAAUAAAAGGUUCACAAAACAUAAUCCAAGACUGCCAAAACCGUCUACAAUGCUCUGCAUCCAUGGAGGUAUUCCUAAAACCCACGAGACACUGCAAAGAAGUGGGUGCUACCUUUACUCCACUUUAUAGAGAUGAAGGAUUCAAGCUGAAGCAUUCUGCCCAAAGCUGUCUGGUAUCAGAGCUCAUGCUCUUGACCUUUCUCCAACUGACGAAGAUGUAACAGAAAACACGACCCAAGCUGAGCCUGAGUGCAUCUCUGUGCUUCGCAGGGUGCUGUAUGCAAAUCCUCAUUUAAUCAUCUGUGACUCACCAGGAGACACAGAUGAAAUGUCAAGAGCUGCUCGAGCACUGGUGACGCCUAUGAACCCUUAACUAGAGCAGAGAUUACGACUCCUCGAGCACUGUGGUAACUACAUAUGCUUAAGAGAAAAAGACAGCAGAUAAAGCACAAAAAUACAGUUACAACACACAGUAAGAACAUUAAGGAAACCAUCGCUUUUUCCUUUUGGAAAUACCGUCUGCAAUCGAGAGGCAUUACCUGUUUGCUCAGGCUCACUCUUAUCCUCAUCUUCAAUAUCAAACUCUGAUUCUCUUUCCUCAUAUUCUACAUUUUCAUCCAACUCUUUGAAAUCUGGUGCAAAUGCACUCCAGUUUUCCUAUGACAAGACAGACAAGUCACCACGUGAAAAAUCAGUAACAAUGUAAGUUCUGACAACUUAUAUUCAGCAUGAUACAGACUAAGCAUUCUAAGAUUCAGUUUGGGAUAAGAAAAUAAAAUCUUAGCUAUCUAAGUGUUUGCAAUCUUGAUGUAUUUUCUAUAUAAACAUUUUAAGUUAUUAACUGCAUUUCUUUUCUAAAUAACUACGUCCUUUAAUCUCUUUUAAGUGUACUUCACAAAGGUAGUUUAAAAGUGUUCACCGAUAUAAAAUGAACUGAGCUGAAAAUAAAAAAAAGCAAAAUAAUGUUCAAAGGUUGCAGAAAGUGUAUAUACAUGGAAACAAAGUUGGAAACCCACUCAGGACUAAGAAUGUCCCUCUGAAGUGAAGUGAAACUGAAUAUAAUGAACUUACUUAAUUAGGCUGCAAGGAUCAGAUGCAAAACAAAGCAAUUAAAGUAGUAUUUAGUUUACUGUGUAUAAAGAGUUUUUGACAAAAAGAAAUAUUUAGUUUCAAAGCAAAUCAACCAGAAAAAUACUUACUACUUGGUUCUGGGCCCAAAUGGACACCACUCCACUGGAAAUAGAAGCUAUGAUGGGUCGGACUGGAUGCCACUAAAUUGUAACGCAAGAAAGAGAAGAACUGUCAGAACAGACUUAAGCCAUUCUACAGUGUGUGAGCAACCAAAGCAAUACACUGCUCUACUUACAGCCACAUCCAGCAGGAGUUCUCCUCUGGUCCCAUGCAAGAUCUUCACCAGGUUGCCAAUGCUCUUCUCCCAGAUAUACAGUGCAUGCUGCCGGGCAGAGCCCGCCACUAUGUAUUCCCCAUCCCCAGAGAAGCAACAUUUUUUCCAUGGGGUCCUAAAAGACAAAGAACAUCCCCAAGAGAAACUGGAAAAGGAGCCCAGGGAAGGUCAGUUACAUCCUCUCCUGGCAACACCACCUACCUAUUCACCAAGUCCUGCAGUUUCUGCAUAGGCUCAGGCUCUCCAUCCCUUCCACACGUUAAAAUCUCUCUGCCGUCAUAAACUCUGAUUAUUCGAUCUGCUGUGUUAAUUAGAAAGCAACUACAGAAAGGAGAGAGAUUAUCGACCAGUCAGACGUCUGUCCCUGUUAACAAUUUCUAUCACUACUACUUAGACUAGCACCACAGACCAACUAGUUAGCUGGAGAGAAACUGAGAAUGGCCAAGAUUCGAUGCUUAUGUAUCUUCUUAUCACUCCAAACCAGUAAAGUGAAUAUAUAUGUGCUUUAUCCUGUGUAUCCCCAAACCUCAUGUCAACAUUGCCUGGACUUAACUGAGAUCCCAAGACCUCUGAACCAAAGUCAGCCUGCUCAAUUCACGAGUUCGUAAUGUGUAAUAUUCAAUAAUUAAAUACUGCACUUAUCUAGCCAA
Molecule: long non-coding RNA, 2482 nt
Organism: Peromyscus eremicus (cactus mouse)
Lineage: Eukaryota; Metazoa; Chordata; Mammalia; Rodentia; Cricetidae
Exons: 2
Source: RefSeq, a predicted model, not a curated record